CUGCCCGGCCGGCCCAGGCGGGGCUGCGGGACCAGCCUUCGAGCUGCACCCCCUCGGCGGCAGCUGAGAGCGGGCGGGGCGGAGAAGGAAACUGGGCGGCGCCCCCACCCCGCGCUCCGCGGCUGGCGGUCGACGCUCGGGGGCAUUCGUUUCCGGGGGGGGGGCAAGCGGAGUCGGUGGGGCCUCGAAAGCCCCCAGGGACGGACUCGCGCUGCAAGCGGGCAAACGGCGCGCCUCCAGUCUCGGCCGGGGGCGGGGCGCCGGGCGCCGGGGGAUCCUGGGGGCCGGGGGGUCCUCGGGAUCCCGGGGCCGGAGGCUCGCGCGUCGCGAGUGUCUGCAGACGCGGGUGGGAAGAUGCUCGUCGCUGCGCGAGGUGACGAGGGUUCCAGCGGGAAGGGGCUCUCGGACGCACGUGGAGUGGAUUUAAGCACACGUGUCAAAAAGACCAGCGUUUUUACGAGUGUUCCUUGCUUGUCUAGUUGCGAACAGUGUUAUGUUAGUGAACGGAUGUGUGGGCACUUCUGUAAUAUGCGUAGGGAAGUGUCUAGAAACACAGGUAAAGACGACGUUUCUGAGUGUUACUUGAAAGAAAAAGAGAGAAAGAUUCCUGUCUGGGAGCGCGCCCCCGGCCCGGCUGCGCCCACGCGUGGCUCUGGGCUGCUUCCACUGUCACUUAAACAUAUUUUUAACUUUUGACCUCCUCUUUGACCCGCGGUGUAAUUUCAGUUCCAAAUAUUUGCGGAUUUUCCAGCUCAUUCUGUGAUGUCUAGUUUAAUUCAGUUCCGUUCUGAGAACGUGCUUUGUAUGCUUUUCACUCCCUGAUCUUCCUUUUUAUCGCACCCCCCGCCCUCCCGCCGUGCGCACCUGGUUCCUCUUUCCUGCUUUAUUUUUCUUCUUCUUCUUCUUUUUUUUUUGCUUAUGACGAUCUAACCGAACUUCUGAAAUAUUUGCCUUAUUUAUUUUAUUGCUUAUCUCCUUCCGUCUUGCUACUCCCAAAGGUAGAGAUUCUUUUCUUUCUUUUUUGUUCACCGAUGUAUCUGCAAUACCUAGAACAGAGCCUAACACACAGUAGGUGGUCAACACAUAUCUGUUGAAUGGAUGAGGAACAACUGAAUGCCCAGUCCCCAUUGGGCGUGUCAGGAGGCCGUUGCUCAGAGCUGUUCUCUGCCCCUGAGGUCACAGGGCAAGAACGCGGCAGAACGGGGUUGCCUGGGCCCAUGGCCUUGUGUUGUACCCAGUUGGUGGCACUGGAUUCGACCUGCAAUCCCUGGGCGCCUCCUGCGCGCCUGGUCCUGAAGGACGGCCUUGCACGUGCCGCUGUCACUCACCCAGCGAGAGCAUCCAGUCUUCACGGCACGUACCUUGCCCCGGGCCCCCACCUGCAGAGGCGCCCUUGGCGGGCAGAGGUGCUGUCAGUUCUCUGGGUUGGGUACCCCCGCGUGCCCCCCACCCCACCCCCGCGUCCAUGGGGAGCCCGAGGCUCCGUGUGUGCGCUCGGAGAGCAUCCUUGCUUCCUUCUCAGCCGUGCAGGGUCGCUGUGGAGGACGGAGCAGCCGCACCUCUGCCGCGCGCGGGUCCCAUCAGCAGCCCGCCAGUACGUAGCUGUAGAUUCUAGCUGUGAGUGCCUCUGGCUGUGCCAUGUGGGAUGCGCCUCAGCGUGGCCUGAUGAGCGGUGCCAUAUCCCUGCCUAGGAUCCAAACCGGGGAACUCCCUGGCGGCCAAAGCGGAGCGCCGGCACUUAACCACUCGGCUGCGGGCCGGCUCCCAGACUUUCUUUACCUCAAGAUAAAUUGUAUAUUACUGCAAUAUUUUAAAAAAUAAGAAUAAAUGGAAAAGGCCAUGAUGAGCAAAAUAUCAAAAGUUUAAAUAAAGACAGACACUGUUUUUCUCUCAG
Equus caballus (horse) is the source of this 1894-nucleotide non-coding RNA. The record is from RefSeq and is a predicted model, not a curated record. NCBI's taxonomy places the organism in Eukaryota, Metazoa, Chordata, Mammalia, Perissodactyla, Equidae.